RNAcentral lists this transfer RNA (73 nucleotides) under Liberibacter crescens BT-1. It matches the Rfam family "tRNA". From Rfam's summary of the family: Transfer RNA (tRNA) molecules are approximately 80 nucleotides in length. The record is from Rfam by way of RNAcentral. Lineage: Bacteria; Pseudomonadati; Pseudomonadota; Alphaproteobacteria; Hyphomicrobiales; Rhizobiaceae.
GCCCAGAUAGCUCAGUCGGUAGAGCAACGGACUGAAAAUCCGUGUGUCGCUGGUUCAAUUCCUGCUCUGGGCA